This 460-nucleotide ribosomal RNA is filed under the name uncultured bacterium. RNAcentral describes it as "partial 16S ribosomal RNA". It matches the Rfam family "Bacterial small subunit ribosomal RNA", at positions 338 to 795 of the family's 1533-position model. The record is from RNAcentral.
CCCACGGGAGGCAGCAGUGAGGAAUAUUGGUCAAUGGGCGAGAGCCUGAACCAGCCAAGUCGCGUGAAGGAUGACGGCCCUACGGGUUGUAAACUUCUUUUGUCAGGGAGCAAUUGAGUCCACGUGUGGUCUUAGCGAGAGUACCUGAAGAAAAAGCAUCGGCUAACUCCGUGCCAGCAGCCGCGGUAAUACGGAGGAUGCGAGCGUUAUCCGGAUUUUUUGGGUUUAAAGGGUGCGUAGGCGGAAUAUCAAGUCAGCGGUAAAAAUUCGGGGCUCACCCCCGUCGUGCCGUUGAAACUGACGUUUUCGAGGGGGAGAGAAGUAUGAGGAAUGCGUGGGGUAGCGGGGAAAUGCAUAGAGAGCGCGCAGAACUCCGAUGGCGAAGGCAGCAUGCCGGCGCCAAACUGACGCUGAGGCACGAAAGCGGGGGUAUCGAACAGGAUUAGAUACCCGGGUAGUA